GGAGGGUUGCCCGAGUGGCCAAUGGGAGCGGGCUGUAAACCCGCCGGCUUAUGCCUGCGUUGGUUCGAAUCCAACACCCUCCA
This 83-nucleotide transfer RNA is filed under the name Myxococcales bacterium. Its description in RNAcentral is "tRNA-Tyr". It matches the Rfam family "tRNA". Rfam says of the family: Transfer RNA (tRNA) molecules are approximately 80 nucleotides in length. Their secondary structure includes four short double-helical elements and three loops (D, anti-codon, and T loops). The record is from RNAcentral. RNAcentral also lists the same sequence under 2 other names. Lineage: Bacteria; Pseudomonadati; Myxococcota; Myxococcia; Myxococcales.